GGCAUGUGAGGGAGCAGAGUGCAGAAGGCAGACGGGGGAAAGGAGAGACGGAUCAAUACGAGUCAGGAAAUAAGGGACAAAGGUAUGCAUACAUGACUCCUUCGAUGGCCUGUGCCGAUGGGGGAGGCAGUGGGAAAGGCAGCCAUGGAAGGAAGGAAGGAAGGAAGGGAGAGACAAGACAACAGAGAAAAACAAAGACAAUUUUAUGCAUGAAGGGGUGCAGCGAGGGAUAUUUAUCACCUGCACCCAUUUGGCAUUUUGGAGAGUCGCCUUGUGUUGAAGUUGGAGGACAGCCACACCUGGGCUGUGCCAUUGGAGAGACGACGCUACGAUUUUGGUGUUAG
Mugil cephalus (flathead mullet) is the source of this 344-nucleotide long non-coding RNA. RefSeq lists it as uncharacterized. The record is from RefSeq and is a predicted model, not a curated record. The transcript has 3 exons. Lineage: Eukaryota; Metazoa; Chordata; Actinopteri; Mugiliformes; Mugilidae.